CCCUUAGAUGUUCUGGGCCGCACGCGCGCUACACUGAUGGAUUCAACGAGUGUUGUUCUUCGGAGCAGAUCCUUGGUCGGAAGGCCUGGGCAAUCUUGUAAAUGUCCAUCGUGAUGGGGCUAGAUUUUUGCAAUUCUGAAUCUCCAACGAGGAAUUCCUAGUGAACGCAAGUCAUCAGCUUGCAUUGAUUACGUCCCUGCCCUUUGUACACACCGCCCGUCGCACCUACCGAUUGAACGGUCCGGUGAAGUCUUGGGAUUUGCUUUGCUUUCGUUUAUUCGAUGCUCGGCGAAGAACUUGAGUAAACCUUACCGUUUAGAGGAAGGUGAAGUCGUAACA
Molecule: ribosomal RNA, 339 nt
Filed under: uncultured eukaryote
Lineage: Eukaryota
Description: partial 18S ribosomal RNA
Rfam family: Eukaryotic small subunit ribosomal RNA
Source: RNAcentral